RNAcentral lists this ribosomal RNA (491 nucleotides) under uncultured bacterium. Its description in RNAcentral is "partial 16S ribosomal RNA". It matches the Rfam family "Bacterial small subunit ribosomal RNA", at positions 29 to 506 of the family's 1533-position model. The record is from RNAcentral.
AGUGAACGCUGGCGGUAGGCCUAACACAUGCAAGUCGAACGGCAGCACAGUAAGAGCCUGCUCUUACGGGUGGCGAGUGGCGGACGGGUGAGGAAUACAUCGGAAUCUACUUUUUCGUGGGGGAUAACGUAGGGAAACUUACGCUAAUACCGCAUACGACCUACGGGUGAAAGCAGGGGAUCUUCGGACCUUGCGCGAUUGAAUGAGCCGAUGUCGGAUUAGCUAGUUGGCGGGGUAAAGGCCCACCAAGGCGACGAUCCGUAGCUGGUCUGAGAGGAUGAUCAGCCACACUGGAACUGAGACACGGUCCAGACUCCUACGGGAGGCAGCAGUGGGGAAUAUUGGACAAUGGGCGCAAGCCUGAUCCAGCCAUACCGCGUGGGUGAAGAAGGCCUUCGGGUUGUAAAGCCCUUUUGUUGGGAAAGAAAAGCAGCAGGUUAAUACCCCGCUGUCCUGACGGUACCCAAAGAAUAAGCACCGGCUAACUUCGU